RNAcentral lists this ribosomal RNA (298 nucleotides) under uncultured Ruminococcus sp. Its description in RNAcentral is "partial 16S ribosomal RNA". It matches the Rfam family "Bacterial small subunit ribosomal RNA", at positions 129 to 398 of the family's 1533-position model. Lineage: Bacteria; Bacillati; Bacillota; Clostridia; Eubacteriales; Oscillospiraceae. The record is from RNAcentral.
CCUGAUGGAGGGGGAUAACUACUGGAAACGGCAGCUAAUACCGCAUAACGUCGCAAGACCAAUGAGGGGGACCUUCGGGCCUCUUGCCAUCACAUGUGCCCAGAUGGGAUUAGCUGGUAGGCGGGGUAAUGGCCCACCUAGGCGACUAUCCCUAGCUGGUCUGACAGGAUGACCAGCCACACUGGAACUGUUUACAUGUUUCACACUCCUACGGGAUCCCCAAGCGGGGAAUUUUAAUCAAUUACCUCCUGCCUGAUAAACACAUGAUGUUAUCCACCCCUAAGCUCCACCGUUUACG